GAUGAACGCUGGCGGCGUGCCUAAUACAUGCAGGUCGAGCGAACAGACGAGGAGCUUGCUCCUCUGACGUUAGCGGCGGACGGGUGAGUAACACGUGGAUAACCUACCUAUAAGACUGGGAUAACUUCGGGAAACCGGAGCUAAUACCGGAUAAUAUAUUGAACCGCAUGGUUCAAUAGUGAAAGACGGUUUUGCUGUCACUUAUAGAUGGAUCCGCGCCGCAUUAGCUAGUUGGUAAGGUAACGGCUUACCAAGGCAACGAUGCGUAGCCGACCUGAGAGGGUGAUCGGCCACACUGGAACUGAGACACGGUCCAGACUCCUACGGGAGGCAGCAGUAGGGAAUCUUCCGCAAUGGGCGAAAGCCUGACGGAGCAACGCCGCGUGAGUGGUGAAGGUCUUCGGAUCGUAAAACUCUGUUAUUAGGGAAGAACAGAUGUGUAAGUAACUAUGCACGUCUUGACGGUACCUAAUCAGAAAGCCACGGCUAACUACGUG
RNAcentral lists this ribosomal RNA (497 nucleotides) under uncultured bacterium. RNAcentral's name for it is "partial 16S ribosomal RNA". It matches the Rfam family "Bacterial small subunit ribosomal RNA", at positions 28 to 507 of the family's 1533-position model. The record is from RNAcentral.